UACGUAGGGGGCAAGCGUUAUCCGGAAUCAUUGGGCGUAAAGCGCGUGUAGGCGGUUCGGUAAGUCCGCUGUGAAAGUCGGGGGCUCAACCCUCGGAUGCCGGUGGAUACUGUCGAGCUUGAGUACGGAAGAGGCGAGUGGAAUUCCUGGUGUAGCGGUGAAAUGCGCAGAUAUCAGGAGGAACACCAAUUGCGAAGGCAGCUCGCUGGGACGUUACUGACGCUGAGACGCGAAAGCGUGGGGAGCAAACAGG
This 253-nucleotide ribosomal RNA is filed under the name uncultured bacterium. Its description in RNAcentral is "partial 16S ribosomal RNA". It matches the Rfam family "Bacterial small subunit ribosomal RNA", at positions 524 to 776 of the family's 1533-position model. The record is from RNAcentral.